UACGGAAGGCAGCAGUGGGGAAUAUUGCACAAUGGGCGCAAGCCUGAUGCAGCCAUGCCGCGUGUAUGAAAAAGGCCUUCGGGUUGUAAAGUACUUUCAGUCGUGAGGAAGGUGUUAAGGUUAAUAACCUUAGCAAUUGACGUUAGCGACAGAAGAAGCACCGGCUAACUCCGUGCCAGCAGCCGCGGUAAUACGGAGGGUGCGAGCGUUAAUCGGAAUUACUGGGCGUAAAGGGCACGCAGGCGGUUAAUUAAGUUGGAUGUGAAAUCCCCGGGCUUAACCUGGGAAUGGCAUUCAAGACUGGUUAGCUAGAGUCUUGUAGAGGGGGUAGAAUUCCAUGUGUAGCGGUGAAAUGCGUAGAGAUGUGGAGGAAUACCGGUGGCGAAGGCGGCCCCUGGACAAAGACUGACGCUCAUGUGCGAAAGCGUGGGGAGCGAAACAGGGAUUAGAU
This 451-nucleotide ribosomal RNA is filed under the name uncultured bacterium. RNAcentral describes it as "bacterial SSU rRNA". It matches the Rfam family "Bacterial small subunit ribosomal RNA", at positions 340 to 783 of the family's 1533-position model. The record is from RNAcentral.